Molecule: ribosomal RNA, 465 nt
Filed under: Vreelandella stevensii
Lineage: Bacteria; Pseudomonadati; Pseudomonadota; Gammaproteobacteria; Oceanospirillales; Halomonadaceae
Description: partial 16S ribosomal RNA
Rfam family: Bacterial small subunit ribosomal RNA
Source: RNAcentral
CCUACGGGAGGCUGCAGUGGGGAAUAUUGGACAAUGGGGGGAACCCUGAUCCAGCCAUGCCGCGUGUGUGAAGAAGGCCCUCGGGUUGUAAAGCACUUUCAGUGAGGAAGAACGCCUGGUGGUUAAUACCCAUCAGGAAAGACAUCACUCACAGAAGAAGCACCGGCUAACUCCGUGCCAGCAGCCGCGGUAAUACGGAGGGUGCGAGCGUUAAUCGGAAUUACUGGGCGUAAAGCGCGCGUAGGUGGCUUGAUAAGCCGGUUGUGAAAGCCCCGGGCUCAACCUGGGAACGGCAUCCGGAACUGUCAAGCUGGAGUGCAGGAGAGGAAGGUAGAAUUCCCGGUGUAGCGGUGAAAUGCGUAGAGAUCGGGAGGAAUACCAGUGGCGAAGGCGGCCUUCUGGACUGACACUGACGCUGAGGUGCGAAAGCGUGGGUAGCAAACAGGAUUAGAUACCCUUGUAGUC